RNAcentral lists this ribosomal RNA (639 nucleotides) under uncultured fungus. RNAcentral describes it as "eukaryotic LSU rRNA". It matches the Rfam family "Eukaryotic large subunit ribosomal RNA", at positions 34 to 655 of the family's 3401-position model. The record is from RNAcentral. Lineage: Eukaryota; Fungi.
UUAAGCAUAUCAAUAAGCGGAGGAAAAGAAACUAACAAGGAUUCCCCUAGUAACUGCGAGUGAAGCGGGAAGAGCUCAAAUUUAAAAUCUGGCUGCCUCUGGUUGCCCGAGUUGUAGUCUGGAGAAGCGUUUUCCGUGUUGGACCGUGUAUAAGUCUCUUGGAACAGGGCGUCAUAGAGGGUGAGAAUCCCGUCUUUGACACGGACUACCAAUGCUUUGUGAUGCGCUCUCAAAGAGUCGAGUUGUUUGGGAAUGCAGCUCAAAAUGGGUGGUAAAUUCCAUCUAAAGCUAAAUAUAGGCGAGAGACCGAUAGCGAACAAGUACCGUGAGGGAAAGAUGAAAAGCACUUUGGAAAGAGAGUUAAACAGUACGUGAAAUUGCUGAAAGGGAAACGCUUGAAGUCAGUCGUGUCUGCCAGGACUCAGCCUCGCUUCUGCUUGGUGUACUUUCUGGUUGGAUGGGCCAACAUCAAUUUCGAUCGUUGGAGAAAGGCUUUGGGAACGUGGCACCUUCGGGUGUGUUAUAGCCCUUUGUCGUAUGCAACGGUUGGGAUUGAGGACUGCAGCACGCCUUUAUGGCCGGGGUUCGCCCACGUACGUGCUUAGGAUGUUGGCAUAAUGGCUUUAAGCGACCCGUCUU